RNAcentral lists this long non-coding RNA (288 nucleotides) under Elaeis guineensis (African oil palm). RNAcentral's name for it is "long non-coding RNA (EGUI_LNC067369)". Lineage: Eukaryota; Viridiplantae; Streptophyta; Magnoliopsida; Arecales; Arecaceae. The record is from RNAcentral.
CAUCGGGUACCAUUGCUAGAUGGUCACUUCAAUUAGUACAGGAAUUGGUUCCUAUGCUACAGGCUUAGGUUCGAACCUGCGGGGUCACACACAUUAGAGGUUCCUAUUUGAUCUGAUGGCUGGUGUAGAAUCCUACAUGUUUGGGACUCAAUGAUCGAGAAUCAGGAUUCUCUGAUCAUGAGUUCCACACAUUAUGGGUACCGGGGUCAAGAGUCCCACUGGUUGGGACUUUUCGAUCAGGGUUACAUAUCGAUGAAUUCUGAUGCCUGAUUGUCCAUCGGAUUUGGA